CACGGGGUUGCGAGCGUUGUCCGGAAUCACUAGGCGUAAAGGGCAGGCAGGCGGAUCCAUAAGUUUAUCGUUUAAGGCGUCGGCUUAACCGGCGUAGGGCGGUAGAUACUGUGGAUCUGGAAUGCGGUUGGGGAAGACAGAAUUCCUGGUGUAGCGGUGGAAUGCGCAGAGAUCAGGAGGAACACCGAUGGCGAAGGCAGGUCUCUGGGCCACUACUGACGCUGAGAAGCGAAAGCAUGGGGAGCGAACAGGAUUAGAUACCCU
Molecule: ribosomal RNA, 264 nt
Filed under: uncultured prokaryote
Description: partial 16S ribosomal RNA
Rfam family: Bacterial small subunit ribosomal RNA
Source: RNAcentral